This 1446-nucleotide ribosomal RNA is filed under the name metagenome. RNAcentral's name for it is "bacterial SSU rRNA". It matches the Rfam family "Bacterial small subunit ribosomal RNA". The record is from RNAcentral.
UCCAAUUGUAAUAGCAAUAUUGUAAUUGGAUAGUGGCAAACGGGUGAGUAAUACAUAGGUAAUUUCCCUUUGAGAGGAGUACAACUCUGCGAAAGCGGGGCUAAUUCUACAUGAUACUGCGUUCUGAAAUGGAUGCAGUCAAAGGCGUAGCAAUAUGCGCUCAGAGAUGAGCCUAUGUCCUAUCAGCUUGUUGGCGAGGUAACGGCUCACCAAGGCUAUGACGGGUAGCCGGUCUUAGAGGAUGUACGGCCACACUGGAAUUGAGAUACGGUCCAGACUCCUACGGGAGGCAGCAGUGGGGAAUAUUCCGCAAUGGGAGAAAUCCUGACGGAGCGACGCCGCGUGGAUGACGAAGGUCUUCGGAUUGUAAAGUCCUGUAGAGGGGGAAGAGGGGUUAUCGUAAGAUAACUUGACAGUACCCCUAAAGUAAGCUACGGCAAACUCUGUGCCAGCAGCCGCGGUAAUACAGAGGUAGCUAGCGUUGUUCGGAAUGACUGGGUGUAAAGAAUCUGUAGGCGGUUUUGUAAGUUGAAUGUGAAAUCCUUUGGCUUAACCAAAGAACUGCAUUCAAAACUGCAUUACUUGAGUGCGAGAGAGGAAAGUGGAAUUUCUGGUGUAGCGGUGAAAUGCGUAGAUAUCAGAAGGAACACCUGUGGCGAAGGCGACUUUCUGGCUCGCAACUGACGCUGAGAGAUGAAAGCUAGGGGAGCAAACAGGAUUAGAUACCCUGGUAGUCCUAGCUGUAAACGAUGGACACUAGGUGUGCCCGCCUUAGGCGGGUGUGCCGAAGCUAACGCAUUAAGUGUCCCACCUGGGGAGUACGGCCGCAAGGUUGAAACUCAAAGGAAUUGACGGGGGCCCGCACAAGCGGUGGAGCAUGUGGUUUAAUUCGACGCUACACGAAGAACCUUACCUGGGCUUGACAUGCUGGUAGUAAGAAACCGAAAGGUCGAUGACGCGUCGUAAGACGUGAGCCAGCACAGGUGCUGCAUGGCUGUCGUCAGCUCGUGUCGUGAGAUGUUGGGUUAAGUCCCGCAACGAGCGCAACCCUUAUCUUUAGUUGCCUGGCUACUUUUAGUGGUCGGCUACUCUAAAGAAACUGCCACGGAGAACGUGGAGGAAGGUGGGGAUGACGUCAAGUCAGCAUAGCCCUUAUGUCCAGGGCUACACACGUGCUACAAUGGCGCGCACAAAGAGUUGCCAAAUCGUAAGAUGGAGCUAAUCUCAAAAAGCGCGCCUUAGUUCGGAUUGAGGGCUGCAAUUCGCCCUCAUGAAGCCGGAAUCGCUAGUAAUCGCGGAUCAGACACGCCGCGGUGAAUACGUUCCCGGGCCUUGUACACACCGCCCGUCACACCACGAAAGCCAACUGUACUUGAAAAUGUUUAAACCUUUAUCGGAAAGCAACUAAAGUAUAAUUGGUGAUUGGGGUGAAGUCGUAACAAGGUA